This 62-nucleotide small nuclear RNA is filed under the name Echinops telfairi (small Madagascar hedgehog). Its description in RNAcentral is "U7 small nuclear RNA (ENSETEG00000021135.1)". It matches the Rfam family "U7 small nuclear RNA". Rfam says of the family: Animal histone pre-mRNAs are spliced by a different mechanism than nuclear pre-mRNAs and self-splicing introns. This processing involves the U7 snRNP, which contains only one RNA species: U7. The record is from RNAcentral. Lineage: Eukaryota; Metazoa; Chordata; Mammalia; Afrosoricida; Tenrecidae.
GAGUGUUACAGCUCUUUUAGAAUUUGUCUAGCAGGUGUUCUGGCUCUUACCGGAAAACCCUA